AUUUCUUCUCUUCCCUCAAAAAAUCAAUGUGCAGAAUCUCUGGAACUCAUCCCUUCAGAGGGUCCUUCCCAGAAGAACUGUAUCUCCACUACCUCGGUUCUCUGGAAUAAAUUACAAAGUUUUUCUACACCAGGAGUUCCAAAGUCAAGCUACAUUCAAAGAGAGAAACAACACACUGGAUACUCACGUUAUGAAGAGUCAGACAUUCCUUAUAGGAUAGAACAUGUGCAAUUGAAAUCUAACUAUUAAGUUUUCUGUGGAAAAAAAAACAUAUAUGUGUACUAUAUGGCCAUCUGAUCAUUUUAAAAGCAUACUCAGAAUACUUUAAGAAAACACUAUGAGUAUGAA
Long non-coding RNA from Cercocebus atys (sooty mangabey), 348 nucleotides. RefSeq lists it as uncharacterized. The transcript has 2 exons. NCBI's taxonomy places the organism in Eukaryota, Metazoa, Chordata, Mammalia, Primates, Cercopithecidae. The record is from RefSeq and is a predicted model, not a curated record.